Molecule: ribosomal RNA, 440 nt
Filed under: uncultured bacterium
Lineage: Bacteria
Description: bacterial SSU rRNA
Rfam family: Bacterial small subunit ribosomal RNA
Source: RNAcentral
CCUACGGGAGGCAGCAGUGGGGAAUUGUUCGCAAUGGACGAAAGUCUGACGACGCAACGCCGCGUGGAGGAUGAAGGUCUUCGGAUUGUAAACUCCUGUUGCCCGGGACGAAAUGUUCCGACCUAAUACGUCGGAAUUUGACGGUACCGGGUGAGGAAGCCCCGGCUAACUCUGUGCCAGCAGCCGCGGUAAUACAGAGGGGGCAAGCGUUGUUCGGAAUUACUGGGCGUAAAGGGCGCGUAGGCGGCCUGCUAAGUCGAACGUGAAAUCCCCGGGCUCAACCCGGGAACUGCGUCCGAUACUGGUUGGCUUGAAUUCGGGAGAGGGAUGUGGAAUUCCAGGUGUAGCGGUGAAAUGCGUAGAUAUCUGGAGGAACACCGGUGGCGAAGGCGGCAUCCUGGACCGAUAUUGACGCUGAUGCGCGAAAGCCAGGGGAGCAA